GAUAACGAGGAAGGCUAAAGGACAGCAGUGGCGUUGUACCUUCUUCGACUCCAUGUGUUUGGUGCAUUGAGGAUUCUUUGCUCAAAGGAAGAUUUACGCAUCCAUGGCGAUGAGGCAUAAGAGUAGCCUCUCCAGUUCGCCUGCCCCCUGCCUUAUUACCGCAUCAUGAGAAGCAGGAGGACAUGAAGUAUAGUGUACUGCUGGUUAUCAUGAUAGCAGCCGUGCAUAUGCA
Lolium rigidum is the source of this 232-nucleotide long non-coding RNA. RefSeq lists it as uncharacterized. The record is from RefSeq and is a predicted model, not a curated record. The transcript has 3 exons. NCBI's taxonomy places the organism in Eukaryota, Viridiplantae, Streptophyta, Magnoliopsida, Poales, Poaceae.